AUGGCUGUAAUAAAAAAGAUGCACGAUCAUUAAAUUAGUCUAUUCAUUUUCUAAAGACAACAAAUGAUGCUAAAGAUUUCAUUUAUAUGCUUUGCUUGACAGCUUUUUACAUAAGUUUACAACUCUUGCCUGUAAGAUGAAAAAACUAAAACUAAAAAUUGUAAGCUAGCUCUAAUCUGAAGCUCAGACUGCUACUUCAUGGUUCUUCAUUUCAUAGGUUCAAUCGAGAAGUUACAUAAACAAAAUCAUCCUCAUUGCAAGGAAUUGUUAGACCACCCGUUGGAUGAUGAAAUCCAAACUCUUCUUCUGCUUUCCGUAACAAGUUCUGGAACGAAGGAUGAUCCAGGUAUGUUAUUGGCACCAUAUACCUUUUCUUCUCUCUCUUACCUACAUAAACCACAAAAUGUCCUUUCGGGACAUCUGAGGUAUGUUAUUGGCACCAUAUACCUUUCUUCUCUCUCUCACCUACAUAAACUGCAAAAUGUCCUUUCUGAACAUCUGAAUGACUCCUUGUUAGAAGAGAC
This 524-nucleotide long non-coding RNA is filed under the name Nicotiana benthamiana. RNAcentral describes it as "long non-coding RNA (NBEN_LNC041176)". The record is from RNAcentral. Lineage: Eukaryota; Viridiplantae; Streptophyta; Magnoliopsida; Solanales; Solanaceae.